RNAcentral lists this ribosomal RNA (465 nucleotides) under Vreelandella stevensii. RNAcentral describes it as "partial 16S ribosomal RNA". It matches the Rfam family "Bacterial small subunit ribosomal RNA", at positions 338 to 795 of the family's 1533-position model. The record is from RNAcentral. Lineage: Bacteria; Pseudomonadati; Pseudomonadota; Gammaproteobacteria; Oceanospirillales; Halomonadaceae.
UCUACGGGUGGCAGCAGUGGGGAAUAUUGGACAAUGGGCGAAAGCCUGAUCCAGCCAUGCCGCGUGUGUGAAGAAGGCCUUCGGGUUGUAAAGCACUUUCAGUGGGGAAGAAAGCCUUGGGGCUAAUACCCUCGAGGAAGGACAUCACCCACAGAAGAAGCACCGGCUAACUCCGUGCCAGCAGCCGCGGUAAUACGGAGGGUGCGAGCGUUAAUCGGAAUUACUGGGCGUAAAGCGCGCGUAGGCGGUCUGAUAAGCCGGUUGUGAAAGCCCCGGGCUCAACCUGGGAACGGCAUCCGGAACUGUCAGGCUAGAGUGCAGGAGAGGAAGGUAGAAGUCCCGGUGUAGCGGUGAAAUGCGUAGAGAUCGGGAGGAAUACCAGUGGCGAAGGCGGCCUUCUGGACUGACACUGACGCUGAGGUGCGAAAGCGUGGGUAGCAAACAGGAUUAGAUACCCGUGUAGUC